This 38-nucleotide ribosomal RNA is filed under the name Clausena dunniana var. dunniana. Its description in RNAcentral is "partial 26S ribosomal RNA". RNAcentral also lists the same sequence under 2 other names. The record is from RNAcentral. Lineage: Eukaryota; Viridiplantae; Streptophyta; Magnoliopsida; Sapindales; Rutaceae.
CAGCGACCCCAGGUCAGGCGGGAUUACCCGCUGAGUUU